This is a long non-coding RNA of Setaria italica (foxtail millet), 2024 nucleotides long. RefSeq lists it as uncharacterized. The transcript is spliced from 5 exons. NCBI's taxonomy places the organism in Eukaryota, Viridiplantae, Streptophyta, Magnoliopsida, Poales, Poaceae. The record is from RefSeq and is a predicted model, not a curated record.
CCAUUCCGCUUUCUCUCUCUAGGGUUUCUCUCUCUCUUCCGCCCGGCGAUUUCUAGGCGAGGCCUGCAAAUCCGACGAUUCCGCGUGAAGGGAAGCGCAUAUCCAAGGCGGCGAAGCGAUGGAGCGCGCACGGAGGAGGGGCUUGAGGAUUCGGUGGUAGAGGAGGAGCGAGGGGAGGGGUACGCACGAAGCUGCUUAUGAUCUGCGCGCACAAGGUAGGGAGCCUAAAUCUGGAGCGGUUGAUAAGUUGGUCAGCUACAUAGAGCAUAGGUGGGGAGCUACAGUUUGGAAGAUAAGGAGGUGGAAGGGGGAGUGUUGACGCUCGUUAUUGACACACUUUUAGUGCCAUUUAACUAGUGUUUUCAUGCAUAUUCUUAUACUAACCCGCCACUUGGCACCUGAAAUAACCCCAUAUUCGUAUGUGUUGUGUUUUGGAUCAUAUUGCAAAAUCACAGGAGAUACGACAUAAUUGAAGGGUUUUUCUACAGGUUGGAAUUGGGCCUGGACUUUGGAUAUUGGAAGGCCCAAACACGAACAUUGAACUGCAGACCCGCAGGAGGAGCUCUCCACCCUGUUCUCAUCAUCCAACUUUACUUUGCAGAAGAAAUUAGGAUCUUCCUGUUGUAUCUCUCUAAAGCGGUCUAUAGCCUCUUGCAUGUCCUUGUACUUUUUUGCCCUCCUAAUCUUGGACCGAAAGUUGCUGACAUCUUUCCCUUCAUAUGGCACCAUCUGUGCUGAACCAUACAUCUCAUUCAUCAGCUGCAUUAUACGCCCUGUGGACAGGUUGCAUCCGUGCAGUAGGGUAAUAAACUCCUUCUCUUGCUGCGGGAUCCCUUUGUGAGACCUUAGGAAUUUUUUCAGAGAUGGCUUCACAACUAGAUCAUGGUUGUGGUCAGCCAUAAAGUAGGCCACAUGCCACCUCCAUCUAUGAGAUUCACAACCAUCGUGGCUUUGCAUCCUGUGUGAAUCAUCUUCCCCCUUUUCCUUUUCUUUCCACCAUCAACUUUCUUCUUCUCUUUUGUUUCAUCAUUGUUGCUCUCAGGUUCAGAAUCAUGUUCAGAAGAUUUGUCCCCAUCAGACUCAGCAGUUGCUUCCUCUUCCUUAGCCUUCUUACCAUAGCCCUCUUUGUUACACACAUGUCACUUUGUGCUGCUCCCUUGAUAAACCUGACAGACAUGUAGAACUAAUGUGAAUUGAGAAGCCAAUCCUCUUUGCAUAUGUGUUGUAGUAAGACUUUGCUUCCGCUUUAGAUGCAAAAGUCUGUCCAGUGUACGGGACAGGAGGUGUACACCAAACUUCUUCAACAACCUCAUCAGCAACACCAUAAACUUGAUUGUCAUCAGCAAAUUCUGUACUAGCAGCAGCAACUUGGUUGGUGUCAGGAAAUGGACUACUCUGCACCAGGUUUUGCGCAUCACCAGCAGUUAGCAGGGUGCUCCCAUCUGCAAUUUGAACCUGCUCACAGGACCCCAACCCAGCCCCUGCUAAAUCUGCUUGAGUACAGAAGGAAGGAUUUGCAGCGUCAACAUCCAGGAAAUCAAAGUCUGGCGGUAGCUUGUUCAAAUCCAUAAUGACUGUACCUAAUGACAAGCAACUUAAUUUAGUUUAACAGGAAAAAAUAUAACAAGAUGAAGGCACAAUAGUCCAGUAAUCUAGCAAUUUUUCUCCAUGUUCUAAAAAACCAGCACUUAUUUUUUCCGCAGCACUAACCAAUUGUGUUUACUAACUCAAGUCUUACAUUUUUGUUUUUGCUAAAUACACAACCAGCAGGGACGGAUGGUGGUAACAGCACAGGAAAUCAUAAAGCAGAUGAUGUAUGCAGAACAUUCAAAUCGUGCAGGCAAAAAAAAAUACCAAAUUUGUGGUUUGCGUUCCUGUGUGUUUGUGGGCAGUUGGGAAUUUGGAGGAUUGUUCUGUAGUUUUUUUUUCGGUUCUUAGAUCCAGAUCUCAUGGGUUUGAUAUAACCAAGCAAAUAUGUGUAUCAUAAAGCUGUGAUAUGUGUUGGUGAUCUCUGGGUUUCAAAA